This is a ribosomal RNA of 375 nucleotides. The stretch from base 2 to 155 matches the Rfam family "5.8S ribosomal RNA".
AAACUUUCAACAACGGAUCUCUAGGCUCUUGCAUCGAUGAAGAACGCAGUGAAAUGCGAUAAGUAAUGUGAAUUGCAGAAUCUCGUGAAUCAUCGAAUCUUUGAACGCACAUUGCGCCCUAUGGUAUUCCGUAGGGCAUGCCUGUCUGAGCGUCAGCUCCCCCCCAUCUCAAGCAUCUUUUUUGAAGCUUGGAUUACUUUGGAGAAGUGGUUCUAUAAUGAGCCACCCUCUAGAAAUUUAUAGGCAGUAUGGUUAUAUCUGAACUAGACGUAAUAUUAGCAAAAUCGUCUUUUUAGGAAUGAUUGUACUUGCCUCAACCCACUCAUAUUAAACUUGGGUGACCUCAGAUCAGGUAGGGAUACCCGCUGAACUUAA